This 69-nucleotide transfer RNA is filed under the name Marmota monax (woodchuck). Its description in RNAcentral is "tRNA.Ala". The stretch from base 5 to 66 matches the Rfam family "tRNA", at positions 6 to 65 of the family's 71-position model. Rfam says of the family: Transfer RNA (tRNA) molecules are approximately 80 nucleotides in length. Their secondary structure includes four short double-helical elements and three loops (D, anti-codon, and T loops). Lineage: Eukaryota; Metazoa; Chordata; Mammalia; Rodentia; Sciuridae. The record is from RNAcentral.
GGCAUAUAGUUCAGUGGUAAGAGCACAUGCUUAGCAUGUGUGAGGUCCUGGGUUCCAUCCCCAGUACCA